Rhizobium sp. Leaf453 is the source of this 102-nucleotide non-coding RNA. Lineage: Bacteria; Pseudomonadati; Pseudomonadota; Alphaproteobacteria; Hyphomicrobiales; Rhizobiaceae. The record is from Rfam.
CAGGCAUGCUGGAGCCCCGCAGCGGCGCCUGGGUCAAGUGGCUGGCACCUUCAAGAGGAUGCGCCCUUGCCGCCCGACACCGUAAACGCAACCGGGGCUUAU